Molecule: long non-coding RNA, 270 nt
Filed under: Elaeis guineensis (African oil palm)
Lineage: Eukaryota; Viridiplantae; Streptophyta; Magnoliopsida; Arecales; Arecaceae
Description: long non-coding RNA (EGUI_LNC040745)
Source: RNAcentral
UCGCGGUCUACAUACAAAAAAUCACGGUGCACGAAAGUCUUUUGCACGAUCCAGCAGCCAAGAGGGCUCGCGUCAUGAUCGGACGGCAGGCAAUGGUGCGAGCAUGAUCAAGCAUGAUCGGAUGGCUCAAGAGGCUCUGUGGGGAAGAUCCAACGGUCAGAAAGGGUGUUGAGUCCUUUUGAAAGGAUGAUUUCGAUCCAGAUUAGAUUUCUAGCUCUAUAAAAGAGACCUAACAAUCUGUGAAGGAGAGCAUGUCUCAGCGCAUCUCAG